This 450-nucleotide ribosomal RNA is filed under the name uncultured bacterium. RNAcentral describes it as "partial 16S ribosomal RNA". It matches the Rfam family "Bacterial small subunit ribosomal RNA", at positions 354 to 796 of the family's 1533-position model. The record is from RNAcentral.
GUGGGGAAUCUUCCGCAAUGGACGAAAGUCUGACGGAGCAACGCCGCGUGAGUGAAGAAGGUUUUCGGAUCGUAAAGCUCUUUCGUUAGGGACGAACGUGCUCUUUGUGAAUAAUGAGGAGUAAUGACGGUACCUAAAUAAGAAGCCACGGCUAACUACGUGCCAGCAGCCGCGUUAAUACGUAGGUGGCAAGCGUUGUCCGGAAUUAUUGGGCGUAAAGCGCGCGCAGGCGGGAUAUCAAGUCUGUCUUAAAAGUGCGGGGCUCAACCUCGUGAGGGGACAGAAACUGGUAUUCUUGAGUGUCGGAGAGGAAAGUGGAAUUCCAAGUGUAGCGGUGAAAUGCGUAGAGAUUUGGAAGAACACCAGUGGCGAAGGCGACUUUCUGGACGAUGUCUGACGCUGAGGCGCGAAAGCUAGGGGAGCGAACGGGAUUAGAAACCCGUGUAGUCC